GGUUAAGCGACUAAGCGUACACGGUGGAUGCCCUGGCAGUCAGAGGCGAUGAAGGACGUGCUAAUCUGCGAUAAGCGUCGGUAAGGUGAUAUGAACCGUUAUAACCGGCGAUUUCCGAAUGGGGAAACCCAGUGUGUUUCGACACACUAUCAUUAACUGAAUCCAUAGGUUAAUGAGGCGAACCGGGGGAACUGAAACAUCUAAGUACCCCGAGGAAAAGAAAUCAACCGAGAUUCCCCCAGUAGCGGCGAGCGAACGGGGAGCAGCCCAGAGCCUGAAUCAGUGUGUGUGUUAGUGGAAGCGUCUGGAAAGGCGCGCGAUACAGGGUGACAGCCCCGUACACAAAAAUGCACAUGCUGUGAGCUCGAUGAGUAGGGCGGGACACGUGGUAUCCUGUCUGAAUAUGGGGGGACCAUCCUCCAAGGCUAAAUACUCCUGACUGACCGAUAGUGAACCAGUACCGUGAGGGAAAGGCGAAAAGAACCCCGGCGAGGGGAGUGAAAAAGAACCUGAAACCGUGUACGUACAAGCAGUGGGAGCACGCUUAGGCGUGUGACUGCGUACCUUUUGUAUAAUGGGUCAGCGACUUAUAUUCUGUAGCAAGGUUAACCGAAUAGGGGAGCCGAAGGGAAACCGAGUCUUAACUGGGCGUUAAGUUGCAGGGUAUAGA
Molecule: ribosomal RNA, 670 nt
Filed under: Escherichia coli
Lineage: Bacteria; Pseudomonadati; Pseudomonadota; Gammaproteobacteria; Enterobacterales; Enterobacteriaceae
Description: partial 23S ribosomal RNA
Rfam family: Bacterial large subunit ribosomal RNA
Source: RNAcentral